Molecule: non-coding RNA, 478 nt
Organism: Solanum lycopersicum (tomato)
Lineage: Eukaryota; Viridiplantae; Streptophyta; Magnoliopsida; Solanales; Solanaceae
Source: RefSeq, a predicted model, not a curated record
AAACGUGGCAGAAAGAAAAAUCCAGGAAAGUUAAUAACAUCUCCCUUCACACAACAUUUUAAAUCUGGAGGAACUUUAUGUGUUACACGUCAGGUUUUUGAGACAAAACAUCCUUUUUUAUAUGCAAGCGGAGGAGAUGAUGAAUCUGAUUUGAUCGAUUCAUUCACUAAGUGGCUUUAUAUGGGUACAAAAAAGAGGGGAAAGAAACCUUAUACAGAUGCUCUUAAUGUUAUCAAUCCAGCAUUUGAAUUGGGUGUCUAUACGGUAGAUGAAAGACUCUGGUUUUUCAAAUUGGCACAUUCUUGAAAACAAUGGUGUGAUGAGGUUUGUUAUAUAAAUUUUAGUUGGACGUUAAUAUUUCUUUGAUUUGUUUUGUUUCUUAAUCUUGAGUUUGCCUUUGUCUCAACUAAAAUUCUUUCUGUUUAGUUGUGUAGAUAGAUUGUAUUUUUCAUCUAUUGAAGCUCUUUAGUUGUGUGAC